CUGGAGAUGGCUCAGUGGUUAAGAGCACAGACUGCUCUUCUAGAGGUCCUCCUGAGUUCAAUUCUCCAUCUGUAAU
This 76-nucleotide transfer RNA is filed under the name Mus musculus (house mouse). Its description in RNAcentral is "tRNA-Ser". Lineage: Eukaryota; Metazoa; Chordata; Mammalia; Rodentia; Muridae. The record is from RNAcentral.